AGGGGUGUAGCUCAGUGGCAGAGCACUUGCCUAACAUGCAUGAGGUCCUGGGUUCCAUCCCUAGCAUCACAA
RNAcentral lists this transfer RNA (72 nucleotides) under Marmota marmota marmota (Alpine marmot). It matches the Rfam family "tRNA". Rfam says of the family: Transfer RNA (tRNA) molecules are approximately 80 nucleotides in length. Their secondary structure includes four short double-helical elements and three loops (D, anti-codon, and T loops). The record is from Rfam by way of RNAcentral. RNAcentral also lists the same sequence under 1 other name. Lineage: Eukaryota; Metazoa; Chordata; Mammalia; Rodentia; Sciuridae.